RNAcentral lists this ribosomal RNA (937 nucleotides) under uncultured bacterium. Its description in RNAcentral is "bacterial SSU rRNA". It matches the Rfam family "Bacterial small subunit ribosomal RNA", at positions 8 to 916 of the family's 1533-position model. The record is from RNAcentral.
AGAGUUUGAUCAUGGCUCAGGACGAACGCUGGCGGCGUGCCUAAUACAUGCAAGUCGAGCGCGGGAAGCACGCAGAUCUCUUCGGAGUGACGCGUGUGGAACGAGCGGCGGACGGGUGAGUAACACGUGGGCAACCUGCCUGUAAGACUGGGAUAACCCCGGGAAACCGGAGCUAAUACCGGAUAAUUUUGGUCACCGCAUGGUGACCAAAUAAAAGAUGGUUUCGGCCAUCACUUACAGAGGGGCCCGCGGCGCAUUAGCUAGUUGGUAAGGUAAUGGCUUACCAAGGCAUCGAUGCGUAGCCGACUUGAGAGGGUGAUCGGCCACACUGGGACUGAGACACGGCCCAGACUCCUACGGGAGGCAGCAGUAGGGAAUCUUCCGCAAUGGACGAAAGUCUGACGGAGCAACGCCGCGUGAGUGAGGAAGGUUUUCGGAUCGUAAAGCUCUGUUGUUGGUGAAGAACCCUCCUGUUAGGAAAUGAACAGGAGUUGACGGUAGCCAACCAGAAAGCCCCGGCUAACUACGUGCCAGCAGCCGCGGUAAUACGUAGGGGGCAAGCGUUGUCCGGAAUGAUUGGGCGUAAAGCGCGCGCAGGCGGCUUCUUAAGUCUGAUGUGAAAGCCCACGGCUCAACCGUGGAGGGUCAUUGGAAACUGGGGAGCUUGAGUACAGGAGAGGAGAGUGGAAUUCCACGUGUAGCGGUGAAAUGCGUAGAGAUGUGGAGGAACACCAGUGGCGAAGGCGGCUCUCUGGCCUGUAACUGACGCUGAGGCGCGAAAGCGUGGGGAGCAAACAGGAUUAGAUACCCUGAUAGUCCACGCCGUAACGAUGAGUGCUAGGUGUUAGGGGGGACCACCCCUUAGUGCUGAAGUCAACACAUUAAGCACUCCGCCUGGGGAGUACGACCGCAGGUUGAAACUCAAAUGAAUUGACGG